RNAcentral lists this ribosomal RNA (492 nucleotides) under uncultured bacterium. Its description in RNAcentral is "partial 16S ribosomal RNA". It matches the Rfam family "Bacterial small subunit ribosomal RNA", at positions 29 to 507 of the family's 1533-position model. The record is from RNAcentral.
AGUGAACGCUGGCGGUAGGCCUAGCACAUGCAAGUCGAACGGCAGCACAGUAAGAGCUUGCUCUUACGGGUGGCGAGUGGCGGACGGGUGAGGAAUACAUCGGAAUCUACUUUUUCGUGGGGGAUAACGUAGGGAAACUUACGCUAAUACCGCAUACGACCUACGGGUGAAAGCGGGGGAUCUUCGGACCUUGCGCGAUUGAAUGAGCCGAUGUCGGAUUAGCUAGUUGGCGGGGUAAAGGCCCACCAAGGCGACGAUCCGUAGCUGGUCUGAGAGGAUGAUCAGCCACACUGGAACUGAGACACGGUCCAGACUCCUACGGGAGGCAGCAGUGGGGAAUAUUGGACAAUGGGCGCAAGCCUGAUCCAGCCAUACCGCGUGGGUGAAGAAGGCCUUCGGGUUGUAAAGCCCUUUUGUUGGGAAAGAAAAGCAGCAGGUUAAUACCCCGCUGUUCUGACGGUACCCAAAGAAUAAGCACCGGCUAACUUCGUG